CGUGCAGGCGGGUGGAUAAGUCUGAUGUGAAAGCCCCGGGCUUAACCUGGGAAGUGCAUUGGAGACUGUCCAUCUUGAGUACUGGAGAGGAAGGGAGAAUUCCCGGUGUAGAGGUGAAAUUCGUAGAGAUCGGGAGGAACACCAGUGGCGAAGGCGCCCUUCUGGACGGUUACUGACGCUGAGACGCGAAAGCGUGGGGAGCAAACA
This 207-nucleotide ribosomal RNA is filed under the name uncultured delta proteobacterium. RNAcentral describes it as "partial 16S ribosomal RNA". It matches the Rfam family "Bacterial small subunit ribosomal RNA", at positions 568 to 774 of the family's 1533-position model. Lineage: Bacteria; Deltaproteobacteria. The record is from RNAcentral.